RNAcentral lists this unclassified non-coding RNA (1408 nucleotides) under uncultured fungus. RNAcentral's name for it is "sequence contains 18S rRNA gene, ITS1, 5.8S rRNA gene, ITS2, 28S rRNA gene". The stretch from base 451 to 1408 matches the Rfam family "Eukaryotic large subunit ribosomal RNA", at positions 1 to 961 of the family's 3401-position model. Lineage: Eukaryota; Fungi. The record is from RNAcentral.
AGCUGGAUCAUUUUUCCGAAAAGAUCAAAAAAAAAGAAGAGCAGCAGCCCCCUCCGAGAGAGAGAGGUUGCACACAAAAAAAUAUCGCACCCUAAAAAAGUGUGAAAAAAAAACAAAGUUGCCACUCCAAGUUAUUCUUUGGAUACUGGCUUUCACAACGUGUCGCGAUGGAUGACUUGGCUUCCCAUUUCGUUGAAGAACGCAGCAAAGUGCGAUAAGUGGUAUCAAUUGCAGAAUCACUCAUUACUGAAUCUUUGAACGCAAAAGGCGCUCGGGAGAAGCUCUUCUUGAGUCAUCCCCGUGCAUGCCGUAUCGCUCAGUGUCGAACAUCUUCAUUCAGAAGAACAAAAAAAAAAGAGAUGACUAAUGAUGGGUGCUCAAAAGUCACACCACAUUAGAGAUUCAGAAGAAAAAAAAGAAAACGAGCACAAAACAAAACAAAAAAAUUGACAGACCUGAGUGCGGCAGGACUACCCGCCGAACUUAAGCAUAUUGCUCAGCGGAGGAAAAGAAAACAACCGUGAUUCCCUCAGUCAGCGGCGAGCGAAGAGGGACCGAACUCGUUGCCGAAUCGGGUCGAAAAGGCCUUGAGUUGUGGCACGUGUUGCUUAGUGAUUGGCAUCAGGGACUGGCGAAAUUCAACGUGCAAAGCAAACCCAUUGUUGAACACAACCCUUCAUGUGAGUAUUGAGCCCAAGUAGGUGUCAGCCCACUGAAGCCAGCGCCCAAUGCCACAUUUGGCAGCUCAAAGAGAGUAGCACUGCUUGGGAAUGCAGUGUCAAGCGGCAGGUAUGUGUCUGCCAAAGUUAAACACAGAUUGGGAAGACCGAUAUCGAACAAGUAGCGUGAGCGAAAGUUUGAAAAGCACUUUGGAAAGAGAGUGACAUAGAACCUGAAGUCGUGACAAUGACAAUGAAAGUACCUCCAUUUCAUGUCAAACCCAGCUCUGCAGCAUUAUCCCUGCCUAUCAAACGGCGGUGGCAACCAAGUGCAGAAAAGGAGACUGGAAAAAACAGCCGAGGUAAAGGCGAUUGCAUUGGUUUCAAUGAGCAGUUGUCUUCUCGGUGCGCUCAAUGUUGACGAAAGGGAAUGGGGUGCCUUCACCCGUCUUGAAACACGGACCAAGGAGUCAAACAGACACGCAAGGGGGAAGAUAUUUGCCAGUACUUCUCUCGUACUGAAAGGGUAUUAUGGUGUGCACACAAAAACUGCCCAACACCAACCGCUCCUCCGGGAGUGAGUUUGAGUGUGCCUGUUUGGACCCGAAAGGUGGUGAACUAUGCCUGAACAAGGUGAAGCCGGGGGAAACCCAGGUGGAGGCCUGUAGCGGUGCUGACGUGCAAAUCGCUCGCAUGAUUUGGGUAUCGGAGCGAAAGACUCAUCGAACCACCUAGUAGCUGGUUCACAU